Molecule: long non-coding RNA, 525 nt
Filed under: Sorghum bicolor (sorghum)
Lineage: Eukaryota; Viridiplantae; Streptophyta; Magnoliopsida; Poales; Poaceae
Description: long non-coding RNA (SBIC_LNC004314)
Source: RNAcentral
ACACUGUGCUAUAUAAAGUGGUGGGGGCCAGCAGGCUCUCAGUAUGAGGUUCACCGUGAGCCGCCACUCCCCACCAACAAAACCCUAAUCCAAUCUCGAGAGGGGCACAACCAUUCUUCACCGUCACUGCACUGCACCACCAUUCUUCACCGUCACACAUCAUUGUGUCACCCAUUCUCCAUCGACCAUUGCUGUCCUAGCAUAGAUCUCCUACCGAAGACAUGGCUGCCUCCGGAUCCAACAUUGCUACACCGCCUCCGAUGGUUUGCACCUCACUACCUCCUCCCUUACUCUGGAUCUCCUAGAUCUUGUACUAGUACACUUGUUUAUCUAAAAUAGUAAAGGUUGUACCCCGCUAAUCUACCUUAGAAUGAUCCUCCUACAGUCUAACAGACUCUACUCCACCAUCUCCAAGGUGAUCUGUAAUGACAUCAGCUGGUCGAACACCACUGCCUACUCUGCAUGGAUGGUGAUCAUGGGCUAAUUCCUUGACCACAAUCUUCAACAUACCAUCUAUGCCCAACA